UCCACCGCUCCAGCCGGGCCCGCAGCGUCUCCAGGCAGACGGGGUGCCCAGGCCUCACGCAGCCCCACCGUUGCCCUCCCCCAAGCCGCCUCCCCGGACCCCCAGCUGCACUGGUCCUGCCUGUCCCCCCGGCAGGGUGCCCACCGGUGGUCGGUGCGGCGAAGACCAGGACUCUGGAGGGAGAUGGGCGCUCUGGGAGAGGGCUCCCACAGCACAUCACCACGACACGCUUGAAGCCGCGUAGCUGCACGUGGCACGGACUUGGCUGCGGGCCCGGCCCCCAGGUCCCUGCAUCUGCGACGUCAGCCAUGACAGUGACCGGACCACCCCCCAAGGCCGAUUCAGCUCACAGACAGCCAAGCACGGCCGCACUUCCUCCACAUCUGCUAGGGAAGAACCUGGCUGCCCGCGCCUGAGGUUUUAGAGCAGGACGAGACGGCCCUUUCCCAGAACAGGCAGGACCCGGAGCGAGGCAGACGGGGUCGGCAGCCUAAGCCUGGCCCCCGGCCUCGCACUAACCCCGAGGGACGUCCUCCGGCUUUCGGGGCCUCAUGCAGAAACGAGGCGGCUAACACCUGCAUUUGUGAUCUCCACUGGUGAGCUGGUUAAAUACUGGUAAGUGAGAUGCACUUACCACCCGUGAAACGUCGAAGGCCAAGUGAUCCGGGCUCCUGGGCUUAGCAGUGACGGCCCUGCUGUCCAGAGCACAGCCCACCCAGGACAGGCUGGAGGAUGCUGGAAAGUGCUAGAAGAGCUAGCUGAACAGUGGCCUCUCCCUCUG
Lagenorhynchus albirostris (white-beaked dolphin) is the source of this 781-nucleotide long non-coding RNA. RefSeq lists it as uncharacterized. The record is from RefSeq and is a predicted model, not a curated record. Lineage: Eukaryota; Metazoa; Chordata; Mammalia; Artiodactyla; Delphinidae. The transcript has 4 exons.